AUUUUAACGCUGGCGGCAGGCCUAACUNAUGCAAGUCGCUCGGAAACGAAGAGGUGCUUGCACCUCUGGCGUCGAGCGGCGGACGGGUGAGUAAUGCUUGGGAAUAUGCCUUAUGGUGGGGGACAACAGUUGGAAACGACUGCUAAUACCGCAUGAUGUCUACGGACCAAAGUGGGGGACCUUCGGGCCUCACGCCAUAAGAUUAGCCCAAGUGGGAUUAGCUAGUUGGUGAGGUAAUGGCUCACCAAGGCAACGAUCCCUAGCUGGUUUGAGAGGAUGAUCAGCCACACUGGGACUGAGACACGGCCCAGACUCCUACGGGAGGCAGCAGUGGGGAAUAUUGCACAAUGGGCGCAAGCCUGAUGCAGCCAUGCCGCGUGUGUGAAGAAGGCCUUCGGGUUGUAAAGCACUUUCAGUAAGGAGGAAAGGUUAAGUGUUAAUAGCACUUAGCUGUGACGUUACUUACAGAAGAAGCACCGGCUAACUCCGUGCCAGCAGCCGCGGGUAAUA
RNAcentral lists this ribosomal RNA (510 nucleotides) under bacterium RD6-4. RNAcentral's name for it is "bacterial SSU rRNA". It matches the Rfam family "Bacterial small subunit ribosomal RNA", at positions 32 to 525 of the family's 1533-position model. The record is from RNAcentral.